GUCCACGCCGUAAACGAUGAGAACUAGAUGUCGAGGGGGUUUUGCCUCUCGGUGUCGAAGCUAACGCGAUAAGUUCUCCGCCUGGGGAGUACGGCCGCAAGGUUGAAACUCAAAGGAAUUGACGGGGACCCUCACAAGCGGUGGAGCAUGUGGUUUAAUUCGAUGCAACGCGAAGAACCUUACCUGCCCUUGACAUCCUCGGAACCCUGCAGAGAUGCGGGGGUGCCUUCGGGAACCGAGAGACAGGUGCUGCAUGGCUGUCGU
RNAcentral lists this ribosomal RNA (264 nucleotides) under uncultured bacterium. RNAcentral describes it as "partial 16S ribosomal RNA". It matches the Rfam family "Bacterial small subunit ribosomal RNA", at positions 793 to 1055 of the family's 1533-position model. The record is from RNAcentral.